Molecule: unclassified non-coding RNA, 400 nt
Filed under: soil metagenome
Description: partial contains 5.8S ribosomal RNA, internal transcribed spacer 2, and large subunit ribosomal RNA
Rfam family: 5.8S ribosomal RNA (bases 1-122)
Source: RNAcentral
GAUGAAGAACGCAGCGAAAUGCGAUACUUGGUGUGAAUUGCAGAAUCCCGUGAACCAUCGAGUCUUUGAACGCAAGUUGCGCCUCAAGCCAUUAGGUUGAGGGCACGUCUGCCUGGGCGUCACAUAUCGUUGCCUGAUGCCAGUUUCCUCGUGAUGGGUGACUGUGCAGGGCGAAUGAUGGCUUCCCGUGAGCAUUGUUGCCUCAUGGUUGCUUGAAAAUUGAGUCCUUGGUAGGGAGCGCCGUGAUAGAUGGUGGUUGAGUGACGAACGAGACCCAAUCAUGUGAGACCCCUACCGAAUUUGGCCUUCAUGACCCACAUGCGUCUUUGGAACGCUCAUGACGAGACCUCAGGUCAGGCGGGGCUACCCGCUGAGUUUAAGCAUAUCAAUAAGCGGAGGA